This 712-nucleotide ribosomal RNA is filed under the name uncultured bacterium. RNAcentral's name for it is "bacterial SSU rRNA". It matches the Rfam family "Bacterial small subunit ribosomal RNA", at positions 61 to 756 of the family's 1533-position model. The record is from RNAcentral.
GUUGAGCGCUGAAGGUUGGUACUUGUACCGACUGGAUGAGCAGCGAAUUGGUGAGUAACGCGUGGGGAAUCUGCCUUUGAGCGGGGGACAACAUUUGGAAACGAAUGCUAAUACCGCAUAAAAACUUUAAACACAAGUUUUAAGUUUGAAAGAUGCAAUUGCAUCACUCAAAGAUGAUCCCGCGUUGUAUUAGCUAGUUGGUGAGGUAAAGGCUCACCAAGGCGAUGAUACAUAGCCGACCUGAGAGGGUGAUCGGCCACAUUGGGACUGAGACACGGCCCAAACUCCUACGGGAGGCAGCAGUAGGGAAUCUUCGGCAAUGGACGAAAGUCUGACCGAGCAACGCCGCGUGAGUGAAGAAGGUUUUCGGAUCGUAAAACUCUGUUGGUAGAGAAGAACGUUGGUGAGAGUGGAAAGCUCAUCAAGUGACGGUAACUACCCAGAAAGGGACGGCUAACUACGUGCCAGCAGCCGCGGUAAUACGUAGGUCCCGAGCGUUGUCCGGAUUUAUUGGGCGUAAAGCGAGCGCAGGUGGUUUAUUAAGUCUGGUGUAAAAGGCAGUGGCUCAACCAUUGUAUGCAUUGGAAACUGGUAGACUUGAGUGCAGGAGAGGAGAGUGGAAUUCCAUGUGUAGCGGUGAAAUGCGUAGAUAUAUGGAGGAACACCGGUGGCGAAGGCGGCUCUCUGGCCUGUAACUGACACUGAGGCUCGA